RNAcentral lists this small nucleolar RNA (71 nucleotides) under Peptoniphilus sp. BV3C26. Lineage: Bacteria; Bacillati; Bacillota; Tissierellia; Tissierellales; Peptoniphilaceae. The record is from RNAcentral.
AAAAUUUAAGGGUUCAAUAAAUAUGGUAUUUCCAGCAAAUAGAUUAGCUGAACUUAUAAGUAUUUUAAGGG